Molecule: ribosomal RNA, 253 nt
Filed under: uncultured bacterium
Lineage: Bacteria
Description: partial 16S ribosomal RNA
Rfam family: Bacterial small subunit ribosomal RNA
Source: RNAcentral
UACAGAGGUCUCAAGCGUUGUUCGGAUUCAUUGGGCGUAAAGGGUGUGUAGGUGGCGCCGUAAGUCGGGUGUGAAAUUUCGGAGCUUAACUGGGGAACUGCGUCUGAGACUGGAUAGCUUGAGUGCAGGAGAGGAACGCGGAAUUCCAGGUGUAGCGGUGAAAUGCGUAGAUAUCUGGAGGAACACCGGUGGCGAAGGCGGGUCUCCGGGCCGAUACUGACGCUGAGGAGCGAAAGCGUGGGGAGCGAACAGG